UUCAUGAGCUUUUAUGAGUGCAUAGUUGUCCCACACUUUGAUGAGUCCAUCUUUUAUAGAGGCUUUUAAUUAAUUUUGUUUCUACCUCAGUGUUGUAUGGAACUCUAGGAAUUGUAAUUAUUUAUUCCACCGCAUGUAUUUAUCUUAUAUGCACUCGUAAUCUGUUUCUGUAUCUAGCACCCUUAUGCUUUAAUUAGCCUUUGGGAUCUCACACUCAUUGUGAGUGAAAACUUUUUUUGCUUCACAUUUAAUUUUUUAUUUUGCAUCCCAAAAUUUUGGUUAAAUAUUACAUGAAAAAAAUUGAGUAUCCGUAGAGCGUAGCUGACAUUGAGUAGUACAAUUAGGAUACACUUACUAGUUAUAUCCAUCAGAAUUGAUCGAAUCCUUACGCUUUGUGUUAGUCGUGUCUUCUUUCUGAUUUAUAUUUCUAUUAUUUCAUUGUGUUUU
Molecule: long non-coding RNA, 447 nt
Filed under: Carica papaya (papaya)
Lineage: Eukaryota; Viridiplantae; Streptophyta; Magnoliopsida; Brassicales; Caricaceae
Description: long non-coding RNA (CPAP_LNC010700)
Source: RNAcentral